CUGAUGGGCUGGAUUAGCCCCCCUGCAAGUAAGGCCAAGAGAAAGAGGUGGCUGGCUCUGUGUUCACUUCUUAUAGCCUUUCAGAGCCCCGCUUAGACGCAGACCUGCAGAUCUUCUGAAAAUGAUUCACAAGUCCUGAGAGGUUUUCUAGCUGCACAAAAUGAAGUGCUCUCACUUCAUCCUCCCGAGGACUGGAAACAAGCUGAACUGCAUUUUAGAAGAUUCACUCUGGCUGUUGAGGAGUCUCUAAUGGAAGACUCUAGAGUCCCGGAUCUGGGAGGCCAGGUGGCCGAGCCAAGGUGGAGACCAUGCAGAUGAAGGGCAGCAGGCAGAUGCAAAACUGUUCAGGGCUGGCACUCACAGGACCUCGUGACAGCUGAACAUGAGAGGUACCACAUUCUGAUGACCCCACAGGGACCUUUUUAAAAAGACAAGUGAGUAAGCAAAGGCACACAUGCAAGCCAGCCCCAGCAGCCCAGCACAACCUCAGAAGGGCCUUCAUCCAGCCACCAGAUGGCAGCUGCAGACACCAGAUAAAGCCUUCCAUUGUCAACCGAGGCCCACAUUUCAGAAGCUGCUAAAGGAGUAAAUCAUCCAGUCCGGGGUUGCUCAUCUCCUCAUCAGAAUAUCAGAAGACUCCAUUGCCCUUCCUCACACAGAUUCUUCUAAUAACACACGAGAAAAAUCUUGUAAAUCUGA
Callorhinus ursinus (northern fur seal) is the source of this 699-nucleotide long non-coding RNA. RefSeq lists it as uncharacterized. The record is from RefSeq and is a predicted model, not a curated record. NCBI's taxonomy places the organism in Eukaryota, Metazoa, Chordata, Mammalia, Carnivora, Otariidae.